Long non-coding RNA from Equus caballus (horse), 5349 nucleotides. RefSeq lists it as uncharacterized. Lineage: Eukaryota; Metazoa; Chordata; Mammalia; Perissodactyla; Equidae. The record is from RefSeq and is a predicted model, not a curated record.
CGAACUGGCGAAACCCUGAGUUGCCGAAGCAGAGCACACGAACUUAACCGCUCGGCCACGGGGCUGGCCCCUGGCAUAUAUUUCUGAAUGACUGGGCAGGUGUCUGGAUUGAAAUGCUUUCUGCAUACAAAGUAACUCUUGAUUUCCAUACCAAAUCACAGGGCUGCAUGUAAAUCAUGGAAUGUAUAUACCCCACCUAGGCUGUCCUUCACCUUCUACUUUAUGUUUCUGGGUGUUUCAUUUGCACUUUCCUUUCCACUUUUCAGUGACAGAUUUCCAGUUUCAAUUUACCUGUGAUUUCUUGUUCAUGAGCAUUUAAUCUUCUGACUUUAACUUUUCAAACUGACAAGUCAUCUUCGGGGGUCCUUGGGAUGAGAGUUUCUCAUUUGAAAGCACUCCUUUAUUGCUUUUUCUCCUCCCUUCCUCCUCUCUGCAAGCCUCUCAGGUUGGCCUUCAGAGCAUUUCCUCUUGUGGUCCUGGUUACAGUUUCCAUUCAUGACAAUUGUUGGGGUUCUUUGUGGGGUUAAAAGCACGAUGUGGGGUCAUGGUUGAUCCAAGGAUCCUCAAAUGCUGUCUCUAAAACACACUUUCUCUUUCCCUCUUCCAUUCUUUCCAGGAUCCCAAUUUAACAUGUGUCAGACUUACAUUUCUGUACCUCAUGCUUGUGUUUCUCUUCACUAUUUUCCAUUAUUUGCUCCUCCUACUUUAGGGUGCACCUGUAUUAUUCCACUGGGUUAAUUUUUCCUUCUGCCAUUUCUAACCUGUCCUUUGAGGAAACUGUUAGUGAAAAUCACAGAGGUCUGGAAGAAACUGCUUCUUCUUCAUGACAGAUCCUUUGAUAAUGGCUAGAGCCCUUUUAUCAUUAUCAUCACUGUGGACAUGACAACAGACUGACAGAGAAUUUCAGUCAGUGGCCCAAGCGCCCACCAUUGCUAUAUGUCUGAGCUGGGAUUCAGACACAGGAGGCAUCAGACUCCAGGCUCUUGACCACCAAGUUAUCCCUACUGUCUGCCCUAAGACACACCUAAAACAAAGACAUCUUAUCCUGAAACAAACUGAGGCGAGCCAACCUCCAAACACACUUAGUUCUUACUACAGUGUCAUGUCUUCCCUCCAGAAACCACUGCCUGUUGCCUAAAACACUGGGCCCCCAAACACAACCAACUGCCACCCAUGACUACCUCUCUAAACAAAGUCCUGGCCACUCCCUCACUGAAGCCACUCUAACCUGGCCCUGUUUGCCAAGUCCAGUUUGGGGAGGAGAUCUGCCAGCUGGUUCCACCCAGGCCUCAUUUCUUUCUCGACAAAACACAAUCUCACACCACAGCUUGAACGUUUCCCUCUAGGAGGAGGAAAAUCCUUUUCAAGACAGAAGGCUAAGAAAGACUUGCCCAAUGAAUAUGGGGCACUAGGCAGGCCACCUAGGAAAUAGAGAACCUAUGAGGCUGGUUCUUCCAUCAGCAAGUCCCACCCCCUUCUCUGGACCUCAGCCUUCAGGUGGAGCAAUGCUUUCCUGCCUCCUAGGGCGCUCAUCUUGGGAGAAAUACAUCACCAGGGGAUGAGAAAGGCAUCAGGAGGCUAGAUGCCAUUCCUGACUUCCAUGCAGGAAUUCAGACCAGUCCCUCCCCUGGCCCUCGCCCUGAGUGCACAGAUAUGGGCAGAGGGAGAGGAGCAGCAUAUGGCUUGCCUGCUUCGUCAAAGGGAGGCUUGUCGUCCCUGCCACCUGUGGCAACAACCUGUCAAGGGAACAACUACUAAGGAAAGAGCCCUGGGUCCUGGAAGGCUCCUGGAAAGUAUCAUCACCCCUGUUGAAGGAGGAAGUUGCUGGGAAACUGGUGUGCCCCACCAGGGAGUUAGUGCCCUGCACGGCCAGGUCCUCCACUGCCAUGCCCAGGUACCCCAGGGAGGGUGGUGGUGGUGGGAGGCGGGGAGUUUUGGGAGAGAAAUGUGAACGGGUGAGGAGGGGGCUUCCACAAGUAUCCUAGAAGGCACUGGGAGAGUCGAGAACACCUAGGCGUGUGACACCAGGACAGGGGCCUCCUCUGCCACGUCUAAGGGAGGUACCGGUCUCAGAAUCAACGGGUUUUGGGUGGACAACACCUCCUCAAGCGGGACUCGGGGAUCUUGGCUGUCCACUGCCCCUCCCAGGACUUUACCCUUCCCUCCCAAUCUGACCUGAUUCCUCCCACAUACGCCAGUCCGGAUUCAAGGCCACAGAGGUGCCUGGCGGGUCUGCAACUCACCACCAAGUCAGGCCAACCACCGAGGCAGUGGCGGAGGAGACAGUGGCCAUGGAGGGGCGGUGGCAGUGGAGGACUGGGAUUUCCGGGACCUGAAGAGAGGAAGGUGCACCCCCAUCUCCCAUCCAUCUGCAUCUCCCUGCCUUCAGGGAGUCCAGCUUCCGGGAGAGGAAGCCGGUCCUCCAACUGCGCAUGUGUAGGCGACCAUUGUCUCUGGCCUCACAAUGACCCCCACGGUUGCUAAGCAAUGGGUCCACGGGGCUCUGAGGGUAAGGGUGAACCCUCUGGCAGUGGAUAUGUGCAGGUGCACAUGCAGGUGCAUGCUGUGGCCUGCAUCCUUCCAUGGGUCCUGCAGAUGUGCCUGACCCGGCCAUGGCUUCAGACCGGUGGUUGGAAGAAGCCCCUCUCCAUCCUGAGAGACAGUUUUCCAAACACAAGAAACCAGAAAACCUUAUCAGGAACUCAUUUUUAGACUUAUCUUUGAUUAUGGAAAAUGCUUUUUAAAAAAUCUCAAAUGAAGUAAUUUUAAAGGAUACACAUAUUCUUACAUUUGUGUAAAUAUUUUAAACACAAUAUUACAUUUUUUAAAGAGAUAGAUGCCUAAUACUGCAGAAUCAUGCGUGGUAAUGAUAUACACCAACUUUAACAUGAGUACCACAUAAGAGGGAGAUGGAGGAAUGUGUAAGGAUGAGACGUUAACCUGUGAAGCUUUAAGUUAAUGCAAUGAGAGAUCUACAGCCAAUAUGUAAACUUAUUGUCAUCAGUUGAAUCUGAAUACUGGCUACAUAAUGAUUGUAAGAUUUUGGAAUUCUCUUUACAUUUUAAAACUCAUAAUUAAAAAGAAAUAAGUAUAUCUUCAGUUUUACACAUUAUAGCUUGAAUUAAAUAUGCCACGUAGACAUCUCAAUGGAAGCAGAAGAAAUUAUUUUAUAAAAUAAAACGCAAAUUAGAAAUUAAAAAUUCUGGGUAAAUAAGUGGAGAAUUAUAUUUUAGCACUGGAGACUGAGGGCUAAGGGGAAGAAAGAGGUUUUGUCAUGGAAGCCAAGUUACACAGGGAUAUAACAGAAAGGAAAUGAUAAGUAUAUUAAAUUUGCUGUGGUCCAUUGAAAUAAGGACCAAAAAUUGCCUAUAUAAACUAGUGACAUGGAUGAAGAUGAGGUAUAAUGGAGAAAUUCAGAGGCAAGUGAGUAAGAGUUUUUGAAGAAAAAGCUGAAGAUUUAUCUUAUAUCAGAGGCAUUUGGUUCAAAAUUUAAAAGAUAUAAAAAUGUUUUCAGUCAAACGUAUAACUGUUUCCUUCCCCUUUCCCCAGCCAUCUAUUUCUUUUCCCCAGAGACCAGCACUAUUACUAGAUUCUUACAUAUCCAUUUAAAGAUAUUAUACUGAUUAUCAGAAAUCAUAUGUGUAUUUCCAUACAUAUGACAGCCUAUAAAUACUGCUGUACCCCUUGCUUUUUUAUUUUGAAACAUCCAUUCAAAAAUGUUUUUUUCCCACUAAAUAUAGUUAAUUAUUUUUUCAGUGUAAACAUGUGAAACUAUUUGAGUAGUUUAAAAAUACACUUAAGUAAAGAAUUAGAGUUGGUGGAUGGAAAAACUGACACCUUAUUUACCUGCUCCCAUAUUUCUGGAGCUAACUUGAUGCUUGUGUUUUUUUAAGUGCUCAGAAUUCCAUUAAUUUCAGUUUUUUCUUAAACUAUCUCAUGUCUGUUUUUCUUUCUUGCAACUUUGGUUCAUACCGGACUCACUAAGGAGCAUUUAAUUCCCACAAAUACUAUUUGUAUUUCAUAAAUGACAUAAACGUAAAGCACAAAGAGGAAGUGAGUUUUAAUGAAAGAAAUGAGAUAUUUAUUAAUAAUUGGUUAAGGCAACACACAAUCAUCAUCAUGCACCAUUCAGAGAGAGUGUGAAUCAUUUGUCAGUGCUUACAUAAUCGAAAUAGAAAGAAAUUGGUCAGUUUAGGCUAAGUUAUGCUGUAUUAAGAAGGAAUCCUAAAUCUCAGUGAUACAUAACAUAUAUUUAUUUCUUGCUCUUGCUGUAUAUCCAACAUUUCUAGGUUUAAAUCUUUUCUGUGUUGGUCUUCAUCUUGGUAUCCAGGCUGAACGAGUAAUCUCUAUUUGGGAUACUGGAACAACAUUUUAGCAGAGGAAAAGAAGAGACAAUAAUCCUAUACAAUGGAACACAAAACUAAUACUUGUAAGUGGCACAUAUCAAUUCUGUUCAUGUUUCACUGGCCAAACUAAAUAUAAUGGCUAAUCUUGAUGUCAGUGGGGUAGGAAAAUAUAAUCAUCCCAUAAGGAGGCACAUUGCAAAUCAUAUGGCUAAGUAUGACAUCAAGAGUGGGAGGAGAUAGAAUCUUCCUGUUGGGAAGGACCAUGAAUAUUUGGAAACAAUAAUAUAAUGAACUGCCAGAAGCAAAACAUAGUUGUCUUACAUUCCACUGACCAUCAUUAAAAGACCACAUCCUUAUAUGAACUCCACAUCAUGUACAGUAUUUAUCACGAUGGGGCAUGUUCCUUCUAAUUUAUUAAUUGGAAAUCAAAUGAUCACCUCAAGAGAGGCAAGAAAAGCACUUGAAAAAAUCUAACAUACUUCCUCAUAUAAACUCUAGACAAUGACAUGAGGAAUACAAUGGUGUUUCCUCAUCUGAAAAGGGACAUCUACAAAAAACCUACAGCCAACAUUACUCCUAAUGGUGAGUGACUGAAUGCUUUCUCCCUAACAUCAGGAACAAGGCAAGGAGGUCUACUCUCGCCAUUUCUAUGCAAAAUUACACUAUAGGUACCUACCCAUACAAUAAGGCAAAACUAAAAGAAAAAAAGGCAACCAGAAUGAAAAGGAAGAAUUAAACAGCCUCUUUUCACAGAUGACAAAAUCCUAUCAAAUAUACAAAAAAGUUAUUAAUAAGUGAGUUUAGCAAAGUCAAUUUUAUUUCUCACUAAAUCAACCGUAUUCCUUAAAACUAGCAACAAACAAUUGGAAAUUAAAACUAAAAAAAAAAUUUUAAUAACAUCAAAUAUAUGAAAUACUUAGUGGACAAACCUGACCAAAAAUGUACAAGAUCUAGACACUGAAAACUACAGAACACUGCUGAAAGAAACUAAAGAACACCUAAA